GCGGUAAACGAUGAUUACCAGGUGUCGGGGGCAAUGUGCCCCCGGUGCCGGCGCAAACGCAAUAAGUAAUCCACCUGGGGAGUACGUUCGCAAGAAUGAAACUCAAAGGAAUUGACGGGGACCCGCACAAGCGGUGGAGCAUGUGGUUUAAUUCGACGCAACGCGAAGAACCUUACCCAGGCUUGACAUCCCAAUGAAUGCCCGGCAAUGCGGGCAGGCCCUUCGGGGACAUUGGAGACAGGUGGUGCAUGGUUGUCGUCAGCUCGUGUCGUGAGAUGUUGGGCUAAGUCCCGCAACGAGCGCAACCCUUACCCCCAGUAGCCAGCAGUAAGAUGGGAACUCUGGGGGGACUGCCGGGGACAACCCGGAGGAAGGUGGGGAUGACGUCAAAUCAUCAUGCCCCUUAUGCCUGGGGCGACACACGUGCUACAAUGGCGUAAACAGAGGGAAGCGAACCCGCGAGGGGGAGCAAAUCCGAGAAAUAACGCCCCAGUUCGGAUUGCAGGCUGCAACCCGCCUGCAUGAAGCCGGAAUCGCUAGUAAUCGCGGAUCAGAAUGCCGCGGUGAAUACGUUCCCGGGUCUUGUACACACCGCCCGUCACACCAUGGGAGCCGGGAAUGCCCGAAGCCGGCGGCCUAACCGAAAGGGGGGAGCCGUCGAAGGCAGGCCCGGUGACUGGGGUGAAGUCGUAACAAGGUAGCCGUAUCGGAAGGUGCGGCUGGAUCACCUC
RNAcentral lists this ribosomal RNA (731 nucleotides) under uncultured bacterium. Its description in RNAcentral is "bacterial SSU rRNA". It matches the Rfam family "Bacterial small subunit ribosomal RNA", at positions 799 to 1529 of the family's 1533-position model. The record is from RNAcentral.